This 1159-nucleotide ribosomal RNA is filed under the name Staphylococcus sp. RNAcentral describes it as "bacterial SSU rRNA". It matches the Rfam family "Bacterial small subunit ribosomal RNA", at positions 34 to 1183 of the family's 1533-position model. The record is from RNAcentral. Lineage: Bacteria; Bacillati; Bacillota; Bacilli; Caryophanales; Staphylococcaceae.
GGCAAGUGCGGGGUCUAUAAUGCAGUCGAGCGAACAGACGAGGAGCUUGCUCCUCUGACGUUAGCGGCGGACGGGUGAGUAACACGUGGAUAACCUACCUAUAAGACUGGGAUAACUUCGGGAAACCGGAGCUAAUACCGGAUAAUAUAUUGAACCGCAUGGUUCAAUAGUGAAAGACGGUUUUGCUGUCACUUAUAGAUGGAUCCGCGCCGCAUUAGCUAGUUGGUAAGGUAACGGCUUACCAAGGCAACGAUGCGUAGCCGACCUGAGAGGGUGAUCGGCCACACUGGAACUGAGACACGGUCCAGACUCCUACGGGAGGCAGCAGUAGGGAAUCUUCCGCAAUGGGCGAAAGCCUGACGGAGCAACGCCGCGUGAGUGAUGAAGGUCUUCGGAUCGUAAAACUCUGUUAUUAGGGAAGAACAAAUGUGUAAGUAACUAUGCACGUCUUGACGGUACCUAAUCAGAAAGCCACGGCUAACUACGUGCCAGCAGCCGCGGUAAUACGUAGGUGGCAAGCGUUAUCCGGAAUUAUUGGGCGUAAAGCGCGCGUAGGCGGUUUUUUAAGUCUGAUGUGAAAGCCCACGGCUCAACCGUGGAGGGUCAUUGGAAACUGGAAAACUUGAGUGCAGAAGAGGAAAGUGGAAUUCCAUGUGUAGCGGUGAAAUGCGCAGAGAUAUGGAGGAACACCAGUGGCGAAGGCGACUUUCUGGUCUGUAACUGACGCUGAUGUGCGAAAGCGUGGGGAUCAAACAGGAUUAGAUACCCUGGUAGUCCACGCCGUAAACGAUGAGUGCUAAGUGUUAGGGGGUUUCCGCCCCUUAGUGCUGCAGCUAACGCAUUAAGCACUCCGCCUGGGGAGUACGACCGCAAGGUUGAAACUCAAAGGAAUUGACGGGGACCCGCACAAGCGGUGGAGCAUGUGGUUUAAUUCGAAGCAACGCGAAGAACCUUACCAAAUCUUGACAUCCUCUGACUCCUCUAGAGAUAGAGUUUUCCCCUUCGGGGGACAGAGUGACAGUGGUGCAUGGUGUCGUCAGCUCGUGUCGUGAGAUGUUGGGUUAAGUCCCGCAACGAGCGCACCCUUAGCUUAGUUGCCAUCAUUAAGUGGGCACUCUAAGUGACUGCCGGUGACAAACCGGAGGAAGGGGGGGAUGAC